UACGUAGGGAGCAAGCGUUGUCCGGAAUCAUUGGGCGUAAAGCGCGCGUAGGUGGCUUCGUAAGUCCGUUGUGAAAGUCAAAGGCUCAACCUUUGAAAGCCGAUGGAUACUGCGGGGCUAGAGUACGGAAGAGGCGAGUGGAAUUCCUGGUGUAGCGGUGGAAUGCGCAGAUAUCAGGAGGAACACCAAUAGCGAAGGCAGCUCGCUGGGACGUUACUGACACUGAGGCGCGAAAGCGUGGGGAGCGAACAGG
RNAcentral lists this ribosomal RNA (253 nucleotides) under uncultured bacterium. Its description in RNAcentral is "partial 16S ribosomal RNA". It matches the Rfam family "Bacterial small subunit ribosomal RNA", at positions 524 to 776 of the family's 1533-position model. The record is from RNAcentral.